RNAcentral lists this unclassified non-coding RNA (342 nucleotides) under Zea mays. Its description in RNAcentral is "misc RNA Zm00001eb052090". The record is from RNAcentral. Lineage: Eukaryota; Viridiplantae; Streptophyta; Magnoliopsida; Poales; Poaceae.
CUGCGUGCUUGCGAUCCUGCUCGGUGCCGGACUUGGCGAGGACCUCGAGAUCGACGAGGCUAAGGGACAUGAGGCCCAGGGUGAGGCCCGACAUGAGGCCCGCGAAGAGCACGAGCACGAUGAUGAUGACGAUGUGCUCGAAAAAGGCCGCCGAGCAGCAGUGGUACUCCACCGCCAUUCACCUCCGCCGCCGGCUCCUCUCUCCCCUCCUGCUUGACGACGAGAGCCACCACCACCAGAAGCUUCUCCUCCGCUCGACCCGCGAACUCACCCCACCUCCUGCGUCGCGAGCGAUUCCGCAGUUGCCUUCUUUAUUUAGGAGCGUGGGCGCGGGCGUGCGUG